RNAcentral lists this non-coding RNA (86 nucleotides) under Duganella sp. Root198D2. RNAcentral describes it as "Glycine riboswitch aptamer". It matches the Rfam family "Glycine riboswitch aptamer". Rfam says of the family: This family represents the bacterial glycine riboswitch. Glycine riboswitches usually consist of two metabolite-binding aptamers domains with similar structures in tandem. The aptamers cooperatively bind glycine to regulate the expression of downstream genes. Lineage: Bacteria; Pseudomonadati; Pseudomonadota; Betaproteobacteria; Burkholderiales; Oxalobacteraceae. The record is from Rfam by way of RNAcentral. RNAcentral also lists the same sequence under 1 other name.
AAGUCUUGAUCGGGAGAGACCAGCGUACGCUGGCGCCGAAGGGGCAUUACCCAGAAACUCUCAGGCAAAAGGACCGGUCAGGGGGC